This 465-nucleotide ribosomal RNA is filed under the name Vreelandella stevensii. RNAcentral's name for it is "partial 16S ribosomal RNA". It matches the Rfam family "Bacterial small subunit ribosomal RNA", at positions 338 to 795 of the family's 1533-position model. The record is from RNAcentral. Lineage: Bacteria; Pseudomonadati; Pseudomonadota; Gammaproteobacteria; Oceanospirillales; Halomonadaceae.
CCUACGGGAGGCAGCAGUGGGGAAUAUUGGACAAUGGGGGGAACCCUGAUCCAGCCAUGCCGCGUGUGUGAAGGAGGCCCUCGGGUUGUAAAGCACUUUCAGUGAGGAAGAACGCCUGGUGGUUAAUACCCAUCAGGAAAGACAUCACUCACAGAAGAAGCACCGGCUAACUCCGUGCCAGCAGCCGCGGUAAUACGGAGGGUGCGAGCGUUAAUCGGAAUUACUGGGCGUAAAGCGCGCGUAGGUGGCUUGAUAAGCCGGUUGUGAAAGCCCCGGGCUCAACCUGGGAACGGCAUCCGGAACUGUCAAGCUAGAGUGCAGGAGAGGAAGGUAGAAUUCCCGGUGUAGCGGUGAAAUGCGUAGAGAUCGGGAGGAAUACCAGUGGCGAAGGCGGCCUUCUGGACUGACACUGACACUGAGGUGCGAAAGCGUGGGUAGCAAACAGGAUUAGAUACCCCGGUAGUC